GCCCGCUUGGCGCAGUGGUAGUCGCGUCUCACUUGUACCUCACAAGAAAAUGAGAAGGUCGCUCGUUCAAUCCGGGCAGUGGGCA
RNAcentral lists this transfer RNA (85 nucleotides) under Coniochaeta sp. 2T2.1. RNAcentral describes it as "tRNA-Thr". It matches the Rfam family "tRNA". From Rfam's summary of the family: Transfer RNA (tRNA) molecules are approximately 80 nucleotides in length. Their secondary structure includes four short double-helical elements and three loops (D, anti-codon, and T loops). Further hydrogen bonds mediate the characteristic L-shaped molecular structure. tRNAs have two regions of fundamental functional importance: the anti-codon, which is responsible for specific mRNA codon recognition, and the 3' end, to which the tRNAs corresponding amino acid is attached (by aminoacyl-tRNA synthetases). tRNAs cope with the degeneracy of the genetic code in two manners: having more than one tRNA (with a specific anti-codon) for a particular amino acid; and 'wobble' base-pairing, i.e. permitting non-standard base-pairing at the 3rd anti-codon position. The record is from RNAcentral. Lineage: Eukaryota; Fungi; Ascomycota; Sordariomycetes; Coniochaetales; Coniochaetaceae.